This 483-nucleotide ribosomal RNA is filed under the name uncultured bacterium. RNAcentral describes it as "bacterial SSU rRNA". It matches the Rfam family "Bacterial small subunit ribosomal RNA", at positions 501 to 982 of the family's 1533-position model. The record is from RNAcentral.
CUACGUGCCAGCAGCCGCGGUAAUACGUAGGUGGCAAGCGUUGUCCGGAUUUAUUGGGCGUAAAGCGAGCGCAGGCGGUUCCUUAAGUCUGAUGUGAAAGCCCCCGGCUCAACCGGGGAGGGUCAUUGGAAACUGGGGAACUUGAGUGCAGAAGAGGAGAGUGGAAUUCCAUGUGUAGCGGUGAAAUGSGUAGAUAUAUGGAGGAACACCAGUGGCGAAGGCGACUCUCUGGUCUGUAACUGACGCUGAGGCUCGAAAGCGUGGGUAGCAAACAGGAUUAGAUACCCUGGUAGUCCACGCCGUAAACGAUGAGUGCUAGGUGUUAGGCCCUUUCCGGGGUUUAGUGCCGUAGCUAACGCAUUAAGCACUCCGCCUGGGGAGUACGACCGCAAGGUUGAAACUCAAAGGAAUUGACGGGGGCCCGCACAAGCGGUGGAGCAUGUGGUUUAAUUCGAAGCAACGCGAAGAACCUUACCAGGUCUU